UACGUAGGGUGCAAGCGUUGUCCGGAAUUAUUGGGCGUAAAGAGCUCGUAGGCGGUCUGUCGCGUCGGCUGUGAAAUCCCGGAGCUCAACUCCGGGUCUGCAGUCGAUACGGGCAAACUGGAGUACUGCAGGGGAGACUGGAAUUCCUGGUGUAGCGGUGAAAUGCGUAGAUAUCAGGAGGAACACCGGUGGCGAAGGCGGGUCUCUGGGCAGUAACUGACGCUGAGGAGCGAAAGCGUGGGGAGCGAACAGG
RNAcentral lists this ribosomal RNA (253 nucleotides) under uncultured bacterium. Its description in RNAcentral is "partial 16S ribosomal RNA". It matches the Rfam family "Bacterial small subunit ribosomal RNA", at positions 524 to 776 of the family's 1533-position model. The record is from RNAcentral.